This 207-nucleotide ribosomal RNA is filed under the name uncultured bacterium. RNAcentral describes it as "partial 16S ribosomal RNA". It matches the Rfam family "Bacterial small subunit ribosomal RNA", at positions 568 to 774 of the family's 1533-position model. The record is from RNAcentral.
CACGUAGGCGGGUAUUUAAGUCAGGGGUGAAAUCCCGGAGCUCAACUCCGGAACUGCCUUUGAUACUAGGUACCUAGAGUAUGGAAGAGGUAAGUGGAAUUCCGAGUGUAGAGGUGAAAUUCGUAGAUAUUCGGAGGAACACCAGUGGCGAAGGCGGCUUACUGGUCCAUUACUGACGCUGAGGUGCGAAAGCGUGGGGAGCAAACA